This 500-nucleotide ribosomal RNA is filed under the name uncultured bacterium. RNAcentral describes it as "partial 16S ribosomal RNA". It matches the Rfam family "Bacterial small subunit ribosomal RNA", at positions 30 to 523 of the family's 1533-position model. The record is from RNAcentral.
AUUGAACGCUGGCGGAAUGCUUUACACAUGCAAGUCGAACGGCAGCACGGACUUCGGUCUGGUGGCGAGUGGCGAACAGGUGAGUAAUGUAUCGGAACGUGCCCAGUCGUGGGGGAUAACGUAGUGAAACUUACGCUAAUACCGCAUACGAUCUAUGGAUGAAAGCGGGGGAUCGCAAGACCUCGCGCGAUUGGAGCGGCCGAUAUCAGAUUAGGUAGUUGGUGGGGUAAAGGCCCACCAAUCCAACGAUCUGUAGCUGGUCUGAGAGGACGACCAGCCACACUGGAACAGAGACACGGUCCCGACUCCUACGGGAGGCAGCAGUGGGGAAUUUUGGACAAUGGGCGAAAGCCUGAUCCAGCCAUUCCGCGUGCAGGAUGAAGGCCCUCGGGUUGUAAACUGCUUUUGUACAGAACGAAAAGGUUUCUGUUAAUACUAGGAGCUCAUGACGGUACUGUAAGAAUAAGCACCGGCUAACUACGUGCCAGCCGCCGCCGUAA